This 232-nucleotide ribosomal RNA is filed under the name uncultured bacterium. Its description in RNAcentral is "partial 16S ribosomal RNA". It matches the Rfam family "Bacterial small subunit ribosomal RNA", at positions 15 to 237 of the family's 1533-position model. The record is from RNAcentral.
GAUCCUGGGCUCAGGAUGAACGCUAGCUACAGGCUUAACACAUGCAAGUCGAGGGGCAGCGGGAUUGAAGCUUGCUUCAAUUGCCGGCGACCGGCGCACGGGUGAGUAACGCGUAUCCAACCUUCCGUACACUCAGGGAUAGCCUUUCGAAAGAAAGAUUAAUACCUGAUGGUAUGAUGAGAUUGCAUGGUAUCAUCAUUAAAGAUUUAUCGGUGUACGAUGGGGAUGCGUU